CCUACGGGUGGCUGCAGUGGGGAAUAUUGGACAAUGGGCGAAAGCCUGGUCCAGCCGUGCCGCGUGUGUGAAGAAGGCCUUCGGGUUGUAAAGCACUUUCAGUGGGGAAGAAAGCCUUGGGGCUAAUACCCUCGAGGAAGGACAUCACCCACAGAAGAAGCACCGGCUAACUCCGUGCCAGCAGCCGCGGUAAUACGGAGGGUGCGAGCGUUAAUCGGAAUUACUGGGCGUAAAGCGCGCGUAGGCGGUCUGAUAAGCCGGUUGUGAAAGCCCCGGGCUCAACCUGGGAACGGCAUCCGGAACUGUCAGGCUAGAGUGCAGGAGAGGAAGGUAGAAUUCCCGGUGUAGCGGUGAAAUGCGUAGAGAUCGGGAGGAAUACCAGUGGCGAAGGCGGCCUUCUGGACUGACACUGACGCUGAGGUGCGAAAGCGUGGGUAGCAAACAGGAUUAGAUACCCGAGUAGUC
This 465-nucleotide ribosomal RNA is filed under the name Vreelandella stevensii. Its description in RNAcentral is "partial 16S ribosomal RNA". It matches the Rfam family "Bacterial small subunit ribosomal RNA", at positions 338 to 795 of the family's 1533-position model. The record is from RNAcentral. Lineage: Bacteria; Pseudomonadati; Pseudomonadota; Gammaproteobacteria; Oceanospirillales; Halomonadaceae.